RNAcentral lists this ribosomal RNA (323 nucleotides) under uncultured bacterium. RNAcentral describes it as "bacterial SSU rRNA". It matches the Rfam family "Bacterial small subunit ribosomal RNA", at positions 28 to 334 of the family's 1533-position model. The record is from RNAcentral.
GAUGAACGCUGGCGGCGUGCCUAACACAUGCAAGUCGAACGGAGUUAUUUUGGAAAUCUCUUCGGAGAUGGAAUUCAUAACUUAGUGGCGGACGGGUGAGUAACGCGUGAGCAAUCUGCCCUUAGGUGGGGGAUAACAGCCGGAAACGGCUGCUAAUACCGCAUAACACAUUGAAGCCGCAUGGUUUUGAUGUCAAAGAUUUAUUGCCUUUGGAUGAGCUCGCGUCUGAUUAGCUAGUUGGCGGGGUAACGGCCCACCAAGGCGACGAUCAGUAGCCGGACUGAGAGGUUGAACGGCCACAUUGGGACUGAGACACGGCCCAG